UCCCUGAUGGCUCAGAUGGUAAAGCAUCUGCCUGUAAUGUGGGAGACCCAGGUUUGAUCCCUGGAUUGGGAA
Molecule: transfer RNA, 72 nt
Filed under: Bos taurus (domestic cattle)
Lineage: Eukaryota; Metazoa; Chordata; Mammalia; Artiodactyla; Bovidae
Also listed under: 1 other name
Rfam family: tRNA
About the family: Transfer RNA (tRNA) molecules are approximately 80 nucleotides in length. Their secondary structure includes four short double-helical elements and three loops (D, anti-codon, and T loops).
Source: Rfam by way of RNAcentral